GAUGCAAUUGCAUCACUACCAGAUGGACCUGCGUUGUAUUAGCUAGUUGGUGAGGUAACGGCUCACCAAGGCGACGAUACAUAGCCGACCUGAGAGGGUGAUCGGCCACACUGGGACUGAGACACGGCCCAGACUCCUACGGGAGGCAGCAGUAGGGAAUCUUCGGCAAUGGGGGGAACCCUGACCGAGCAACGCCGCGUGAGUGAAGAAGGUUUUCGGAUCGUAAAGCUCUGUUGUAAGAGAAGAACGGGUGU
RNAcentral lists this ribosomal RNA (254 nucleotides) under Streptococcus sanguinis. Its description in RNAcentral is "partial 16S ribosomal RNA". It matches the Rfam family "Bacterial small subunit ribosomal RNA", at positions 202 to 456 of the family's 1533-position model. Lineage: Bacteria; Bacillati; Bacillota; Bacilli; Lactobacillales; Streptococcaceae. The record is from RNAcentral.